Molecule: ribosomal RNA, 382 nt
Filed under: uncultured marine Chaetocerotaceae
Lineage: Eukaryota; Bacillariophyta; Thalassiosirophyceae; Chaetocerotales; Chaetocerotaceae
Description: SSU rRNA
Rfam family: Eukaryotic small subunit ribosomal RNA
Source: RNAcentral
AGCUUCAGUAGCGUAUAUUAAAGUUGUUGCAGUUAAAAAGCUCGUAGUCGCAUUUCUGGCGAGAGGAUCCGGUCCGACCUUUUGGUGGGUUCUUGGGUCUCUUUCGCCAUCCUUGAGUGGUCCGUUCUGGCAUUAGGUUGUCGGAGCGUCAGCCGCUCAUCGUUUACUGUGAGAAAAUUAGAGUGUUCAAAGCAGGCUUAUGCCGUUGAAUAUAUUAGCAUGGAAUAAUAAGAUAGGACCUCGGUACUAUUUUGUUUGUUUGCGCACCAAGUUAAUGAUGAACAGGGACAGUUGGGGGUAUUUGUAUUUCGUUGUCAGAGGUGAAAUUCUUAGAUUUACGAAAGACAAACUACUGCGAAAGCAUUUACCAAGGAUGUUUUCA